AAUGACACGGUAGCGCUAAUAGCAAGCUCCCCGAACGCACCUAACGUGACGUGUAAUAAUGCGGUUUUUAUUCUUCUCCUUCAUGGUUUUGUGACACGUAUAAAGUAAUAUAGAAACGGUUGUUAUAAUUUCAGUAUUAUUACGUCCCAUCAACGUAAUAGUUUUGUAUAAGAACACCAUCACACAGUUGUUUCGACAGCAGAGAGAAAGAGAAGAUUCCAUUUAUUACGUUCUCUGGGGAAACUCUACUCAACCAGAGAAAAUAUUUGUAUAAGGUGUUUAUUUUUCAUACACAGCAUUUCCUAAAACGCAACAUUAUUAUGCCGAAGGAUUUAGAAUCGUUGUCAAAAAGACGAAAAAAUCAGUUGAUUAAUGUAGAGUUAAAUCGUUAUAGAAAUUCUAAUUUAAAUCCUACAAUACAUUCAACUCAUUUAAAUAUUGCAUUUAAUAUGUUAGAAAACGAGGAAAUUACUUCGACAAGUUCUAAUAAUAUAUCCUAUGAAAGUUAUAUAUUACCUGUAAACGUUAAUGAGAUAAUUGAAUCAAAUAUAGAAUCACAAUUUGAGACAUAAAACAACGAACAAUAUAACGUUGAAGUAGAAGAUAAUGUCUCUGAAAUAACAGAUAUUUUUGACUACACAAAUAAUAAAAAUUUAUGAAAAGAUUUGCAAACAUUUAUUAUUGAUCAUAACAUUGCACAUAAUGCUGCUAAUAAAUUACUUAAAAUCCUAAUAAAACAUGGGCACGUAGAAUUACCUAAAGAUAUUCGCAUUUUACUUCAAACACCACGAAAUGCAUCCAUUAACAUUAAAGCUAUAGCUGGUGGUUCUUAUAUACACUUCGGUGUUUUCUCUGGUCUACAAAGAUCAAUAUAAAUAUACCAUAAACAUAUAAAAGGAAAUGAAAUUAAAUAUAAUAAUAAAUAUUGAUGGCUUACCACUUUCCAAAAGUUCUAGGAUCCCAUUCCGGCCAAUAAUGGCAUCUAUUGAAAACAUUGACAUUUAUACAUCUCCUUUUAUAAUUGGUAUAUAUCACGGUAUGAGCAAACCAAAUGAUGCACACACACACACACACACACACACACACACACACACACACACACAAAUGAAUUUCUAAAUGAAUUUGUUAAUGAAUUUAUUCUUCUCUCUGUAAGAGGCGUAAUUGUUUUCAAUAAAAGAUAUUCUGUUGUUCUUAACGCCAUAUUAUGUGAUGCUCCAGCAAAAUCCUUUAUUACGUACACACAAGGUCAUACGAGAUAUUUUUCAUGUUCGAAAUGCACACAAGAAAGUGAUUUUGUAUGCAAUAGAAUCAUUUUUGCAGAAACUCAAAGUACAUUACGUACAGACGACACAUUCAAAAAUAAAAACCAAAUUGAACAUCACACAGGUAAUUCAAUAUUAGAAAACCUUUCUAUCGGAAUGAUAUCUCAAAUCCCGCUGAAUUACAUGCAUCUCGUGUGUUUAGGCGUUAUGAAACGUUUACUUCAAUUAUGGGUGAGAGGAAAUAAAAAUAUCAGAUUAUCAAGUGAGAACAUAAAUUUAGUGUCACGUCAUUUAAUUGUAAUUCAGCGUUACAUUCCAGUAGAAUUUGCAAGAAAAUGUAGAAGCUUGGACGAUGUUGAUAGGUGGAAGGCUACUGAAUUCCGUCAAUUUUUGUUCUACACUGGAUGUAUAGUUAUGAAAACAGUAUUAUCACCAAUUUGCUAUAACCAUUUCAUUUCUCUUAGUGUUGCUAUAAGGAUAGCUUCCCACUGACCCACAGCUAUGUGUAACAUUCAACGAUUAUGCAAAUUCGUUGUUAUUGUGGUUCGUUUCAAAUUUUGGAGAUAUUUAUGGUGACGAACAUAUGUCCCAUAACGUUCAUAAUCUUCUUCAUCUCGCCAAUGAUGUGAAAGCUUUUGGAUGUUUAGACAACUUUUCGUGUUUUAAAUAUGAAAAUCAUAUGCAGAAAAUUAAAAAGAAAUUGCAUCAAUCGGGGGUACCUUUACAAGAGUUUUCUAACUGUGUGUUUGAAGACCUACAACUUCCAAUUCAACCAUUAGGAAAAAAACAAUAUCCCACUGUUUAUAAAAAACAAUAUCCCACUUGUUUAUAAAAAAGAUAACGAAAUUUCAUACAUACAAUACAAAAGUUUUAAAAUUGCUGUGAACGAAAUCGACAACUGUGCUAUAUUGGAUGAUAAAUGUGUAAUAUUUAUUCUCCAUAUAUUUGAAGAAAACUACAUAUUAUAUAUUCGUAUACGACGAUUUUUAAAUCCAAAAUAUUUAUUUAAAAUACCAUGUUCCUCCGACAAACUUGGAAUAUAUGUAAUAUCAAAUUGUACUACUUCAGACGUUAUAACAGUUACAACAGUACAAAUAAAAAGAAAAUGUUUAAAAAUUAAAUGUCUUCAUGAAAUAGGUUCAUAUAUCACAAUACCACUUCAAUAUAUGAAUAAUUAAAUGCAAUGAAUUGUAUUGAAUGUAUAUAUUUUUUUGUAUUUGUGCAUUCUAAAAACUGAUAUAAAAUAAUAUACAAAAUUAAAUUAAAUACUAUACAAAACUUUAUUUGCAAGUUAAACAUAGUAUAUUAUUUUUUUAUUUAAAUUUUGAAUAUUGAAGUAUCUAAAUCCUGAUUUGUCAUUGGAAAUUGAUGGACAAAUGAUAUGUAAAUGAUCAUAUUGAGAUGAGUUCCGAAAGAAAGAAGUAUGCAGUUAUUAAAUUUCUUUUGGAUUGUACAUAUUCGGAAAUACCAACGGCCUGGCUUACUGAUGAUAGUACAAGUCAACAGUGUUGGUGGCCACCUCGCACAGCUAAUAGUACUGUACUUAUAGCAAACUGCAUAAGUCCUAAUCGUAAUACUUGGAACCGAUAUGAGGUAGAAGUAAUAAAAUAUUGCAGUAAGUAUAUGAAUUAUUAUCUCGCUUGUAUACAUAUAUAUAUAUAUAUAUAUAUAUGUGUGUGUGUGUGUGUGUGUGUGUGUGUGUGUAUAUAUAUAUAUAUAUAUAUAUAUAUAUAUAUAUAUAUAUAUAUUCUCCAUAUAUAUAUAUGGAGAAUUAAUUAAUUCUGACUGAAUUUAGUUAGUUUAGACAGAGGAUAGCCUUCUGUGGUUGUCCUGACAGUUGGUCGCAUAUUCCUAAUGCAAUACUUGUUGCAAUUACAAGUCUGCUACUCCUAACCUCAAUACUGUAUCGUAUGGUAUGCUGCUGUUUUCUUAAGGCUGUGGAGUGCUGAGUCUGCAUGGCCAGAUUCUAGUCGUGGAUUUCUUCCAGCUUUUAGAUAUAUUAGUUACAAUGAUAUUGAAUAUAUUUUGUUAUAUAUAAUAUAGUGAAUAUUAAGAUUGUUGUUGUUACAAAGAAUGGUUAGCCAGCUGUGUACAAGCAAUAAAAGUUGUGAGAAUUCUUUUAUAUCCUGAUUUUAUCUACCAAAAUA
Molecule: long non-coding RNA, 3409 nt
Organism: Odontomachus brunneus
Lineage: Eukaryota; Metazoa; Arthropoda; Insecta; Hymenoptera; Formicidae
Exons: 4
Source: RefSeq, a predicted model, not a curated record